GGCGUGCUUAACACAUGCAAGUAGCACGAGAACUCUUCUGCUUGCAGAAGAUAGUAAAGUGGCGCACGGGUGAGUAACGCGUGGGUAAUCUACCUCCGAAUCGGGGAUAACCCCGCGAAAGCGGGGCUAAUACCGGAUAAUAUCUUUUAUAUUUCGGUAUUAAAGAUCAAAGGUGGUCUCUACAUGUAAGCUACUGUUUGGAGAUGAGCCCGCGUGCCAUUAGCUUGUUGGUAGGGUAAUGGCCUACCAAGGCUACGAUGGCUAGCUGGUCUGAGAGGAUGAUCAGCCACACUGGAACUGACACACGGUCCAGACUCCUACGGGAGGCAGCAGUGAGGAAUUUUGCGCAAUGGGGGAAACCCUGACGCAGCAACGCCGCGUGAGUGAUGAAGGCUUUCGGGUCGUAAAGCUCUGUCAAGUGGGAAGAACAUGCUUGAUGUUAAUACCAUCUUGCACUGACGGUACCACUGAAGGAAGCACCGGCUAACUCCGUGCCAGCAGCCGCGGUAAUACGGGGGGUGCAAGCGUUAUUCGGAAUUAUUGGGCGUAAAGGGCGCACAGGCGGUCUCUUAAGUCAGAUGUGAAAGCCCGGGGCUUAACCCCGGAAGUGCAUUUGAAACUAAGGGACUUGAGUAUUGGA
Molecule: ribosomal RNA, 640 nt
Filed under: uncultured delta proteobacterium
Lineage: Bacteria; Deltaproteobacteria
Description: bacterial SSU rRNA
Rfam family: Bacterial small subunit ribosomal RNA
Source: RNAcentral